RNAcentral lists this long non-coding RNA (1474 nucleotides) under Selaginella moellendorffii. RNAcentral's name for it is "long non-coding RNA (SMOE_LNC001976)". The record is from RNAcentral. Lineage: Eukaryota; Viridiplantae; Streptophyta; Lycopodiopsida; Selaginellales; Selaginellaceae.
AAAAUACUAUUCGGACUUUAGAAGUGUGAAACAAAUACGACCCUUGGAAAACUCCUUGCAGUAGAAUGCCUUCACGCUCAUCCAAUGCCGCUAACAUAAAUGGUGAGUGACUUUCUACGUCAUAGAAAGCAAACAAAUACCUCGCACGUCAUGGUUGGGAAUUUCAUGGCAUCUUUUACUUUAAUCACCUAAUGGCAAAAAUCCAACUCUUGUAGUGGUAUCCUACAUGGCCGAAUCUAACAAAGCUUCAGAAGAGGCUGUGUUAAAAGUUUGCCGUGUACUCCACUUCCACUUCGGAUUUUCUCGAUCCACUUGGCUGAAAAUAUAAAAAGCCACGCGGCACUUUCGCAUUGAGGUAAAAAAAGAAAGCCGCCAAAUUACCUCGUUUGUUGGUUCUUGACUUGGCUUGCGUUGCGCGAGCGUUACGUGAUUUAGGGCCGCAAGCGAUGGUGGCCUGCGAGGAAUAGUGAGGCUAUACUUUCCCAUGGAAAGCCUCGGCUGCAAAGCAGCAAUUUCUCACCUCGGCUGUGCGGCCGCACCGAGAAUCGCAAGAUCGCUAUUACCAGGUUUGCGAAUCCCUGUAAGUCCCUUGAAGCAUGGUAGAUCCCUCUUGAUCAGAGCUUCAUCACCUGGAAACCUCCCUGUAAGCAAUGGUAACGGUCAGAGAAAGAAAAAUGACGCUCUCCAAGAGACAAUCUUUCAGCUAGAGGGGCUGUUGAAAGAACCUGGUGAGGUGUUGAAUGACAUCGGCGAACAGCUCUCAGCCAAGGACUUGCAGCUCGUUCUCUCUUACUUUGCGGAAGAAGGUAGAGAUUCUUGGUUUGCGCUGGAAGUCUUCGAGUGGAUGCAAAAAACCAACCGAGUGGAAAAUGACACACACCAAUUGAUGAUGUCGAUCAUGGUGAAUUGGGCGAUGAAGCUGGUGGAACAAGAGAAACCUGUGGAACAAGUGAAAGCGCUGUUAGAAGACAUGUACUGCGUGGGCCUAACUCCAGAAUCGCGCAUUAUGCACUCUAUAGUAGCUGCCUACUGGGAAAAAGGAAAGGCGUCCGAGGCACUUACUUUUGUAAAGGAGGUGAUGAGCUCCAAGUGGUACCAAGACCGAGCUGACGAUCCUCUACAAUAUCUCAUCGUAAAGAUGGUCUCCAGCAAGCAAUCCAAGCAGGCGAUUCGACUAGUGACCGAGGUCCGAAAUGGUGGUCUACUGUUGAAAGGCACAACGUACAGCGCUGCGAUGCUGGCUGCAGUUCACGAACAAGAGCAGCUGAGCUUUGCUGUUCACCAGCUGCGAAAGUAUCAGAAGAAAGGCGUCAUUAGCAUCGAAGGCAGCGACAAGUCCAUAAGAACUUACGAGGCAUCGUUGCAUCGUCAAGCCGAGCAGUUUACUCAAUGGGCAGCCGAGGACGAGCAGCCGCAGGAACUUAUGCCGACGAUCUACGAAAGACUGCUAGCAAUGUACUGUCUGGCAGGCAAA